CAUUUGGAACAUGUAUAAAAGAUAAACUAUAAAUACACAGUCGCAGUGUCACUUUGAAUAUAUAAACGACAAGACGAUGUUAAAAUUGAGUGGAUUAAUACUGUGCAGUUUUGGUAUUCUAUUUGUCUUCAGCACCACUGCCAGUGGUCAAAUUAAUGUACAUCGUGUACAUGUACCAGAGUGCAGAUUGGUGUGUCCAACCCUACAUCCAGGAAGAUUCGGUGUUUGUGAAGAACAAUGUCCGGUAACUGGCUGUGGUCCUGGACGUUUAUGUUGUUCAAACGGUUGUGGUCACUUUUGCAAAAGAGCCAUGUGGAAAUGCUUUUAAAUCUCGUACAUAGCUAUAUGGUCAUGAAUGAAAACAAAGGACAGCCAAGCAAAAGUGACAGAAUGAUGCACUUUUUUGUUUUCUUUACAUUUUCUCCAAUAAAGAUAUUUGCAAAACUC
This is a long non-coding RNA of Mytilus californianus (California mussel), 447 nucleotides long. RefSeq lists it as uncharacterized. The transcript has 3 exons. The record is from RefSeq and is a predicted model, not a curated record. Lineage: Eukaryota; Metazoa; Mollusca; Bivalvia; Mytilida; Mytilidae.